CGUGUGGACGUCUAGGCCAUAUGAAGAGGGAAUGCAGACAUCCCAGGGCCAAGACAGAGCAGCGCAGCGAAAGCUCAUCGCGCGGAAAAGGCCGAGGCAAAGGCAAAGGUCCGGUGUCUAGGACAACGCAGCACAAGGCUAUGGUUUCACGCUUCACUCCAAAGGUUGCAGAGGUCCAGAAGACGUCUAGAUCUUUCUUCGUUGUUGAUUCAGCGGCCACCCACCACAUGUGCAACGAUAAGAAACUGUUUGUGUCUUUUACACCGCAGGAAGGUGCGAUUCACCAGGCGGAUGACCACACUAUUCCCAGUAAAGGCUACGGAACUGUUGUUCUUCACAGUUUGGACUUAUCGAUACAGAAUGUGCUUUACGUGCCAGACGCCAAACAUAAUCUGCUCAGCGUUGGACAGCUGAAUGAGCGGAACAUUGACGUUUCCUUCAAGAACAAGAAGUGCAUCAUCACAAAGAAAAUGAUUAUGUAUUGCAUGCAGAAUAUGUUGAUCAUUUGUUUGUUUUGUAUUAUGAUGAUGUGGUGCAGGAUGACACUUGUUGCAUUGCAGGUUCUAACAAAAGUUUGCAUGCAGAAUGUAUUCACGAUUUUCAUCGCAAAUUUGGUCAUUUGCAUUUUGAGGCAGUAUCUAAAAUGCCUGCCUUGGUUGAAGGUAUGACUAUUAAACCCUGCAGGUACCACAUGAAGUGCAAAGCAUGCGCAGCAAACAAAGUGAAAAUGGCUGCGAAAGGUAAGGUGUCUAGUAGGAAUGCUACAGAACCAUACCAGGUUGUUCAUGCUGAUUUGGUUGGACCAUUAGCGCCCUCUUUGGGUGGAAAUAGAUACUUCAUGGUUCUCAUUGAUGCAUUUUCUAGAUAUAUUUUUGUGUACAAUCUCAAGCAGAAAUCAGAGGCUUUUCCUAGGUUCAAGGAAUUCUGUGCUUGGUUGGAAAAUGUGCAUGGUAAGAAGAUAAAGACUCUUUUCAGUGAUCGCGGGGGGGAAUUCACUUCUCAGCAGUUUGAAGCUUUUCUGACUGAGAAAGGAAUUCAACACGAUUUGUCUAGUCCUCGCUCGCCAUGGCAGAAUGGACUUGCGGAACGGGCAAAUCAGACAUUGCUUCAAGGAUUAAAAACCUUGCUGCAUGAUGCCAAUCUUCCAGAGAGUUAUUGGGCCGAAUCUCUCUCGUGUUUUGUUUACAGUUACAAUCGCAGGUUAUCUUCAGCGAUUGGUUGUACCCCCUAUGAGAAGAUGUUUGGCAAGAAGCCAUACAUCAAACACAUGAAGAUUUUUGGUUCUGACAUGUGGGUUCGCUCACCACAAAACUCCAAGUUAGACAAGCGUGGAUUGCAUGGUAUCUUUCUAGGUUAUCAGAAAGGGUCUUACAGAAUAAUGAUGACUGACUCUAAGACAAUUAAGCUCACGAGAAGUGUCGAGUACAAUGCAAAGUGGGGAGAAUGUGGGAAUUUUCCAAUGUUAUCCUGAUGACGGUGAUGAGACUGAGGAUAGUCAAAAGCAACCACAACAGCCCACACCCACUGAUGAAGGUUCUGAGUCUGAAUCUGAAACUGAAUCGGGUGAUUCAGAGGAUUUCAAGAGUGCGAAAGCCUCUAUGCGACCCUCUGAAAGCUCUGAUCAAGAAUUGGAGGAACCAUUGUUCACAAUAGGUCGUUUUUCUCCUAAGAAGGAAGAGGAGAGUGUUGAAGACUUAAGGCUAAUUCGUAGGUCACAGAGAGCCACAAAAGCAAACCUCCAAAGAGAUUUGCUGAUGAGUUUGCUACGAUAGCAGUAACAGCUGUUAAAAGCUCCAAGAAGGUAUUUGAACCUUCAAGUUUCCAAGAAAUCCAGGGUUUGGAUUCAAAGGAAGCUGAGCCAUGGUUAAAUGCCAUGAAGGCUGAGCUUGAUUCCUUAGAAAGGAACAAAACAUGGGAGCUAGUUCCAGUAGUUCCAGGAAUGAAACUGCUUGGAAGCAAAUGGGUCUUCAAAGCGAAGACAGAUCAAAAUGGCAAGAUAGUCAGACACAAAGCCAGAUUGGUAGCCAGAGGUUUUGCACAGGUACCAGGUGAAGACUAUCACGAGACCUAUUCACCCACAGUGAGAUAUGAAAGCAUUAGGCUUAUGCUCAAGCUAGCUGCAGAGGAAAAUCUACACAUUAGUCACCAUGAUAUUAAUACAGCUUUUCUGUACGGAUCUCUAGAUGAAUCACUUUAUAUGCUUCCACCUGAUGGCGUACAGGUAAAACAGGGAUUUGUUUGUGCUCUGAAGAAAUCCCUUUAUGGUCUCAAACAAAGUGCACGGUGUUGGCACACAAAACUCACUGAAGUAUUAUUUUCUCUAGGUUUUCAGCAAGGGAAAGCUGAUCCAUGUGUAUUUGUCAAAGAGGAGGGGCAAAGAAACUGUACUGUUUGUUUUAUGUUGAUGAUUUAUUAUUCUUUUGGAAAGAUGUCGCAAUGUACAAUAGCGCCCUAGCUCAACUGAAAGAGCACUUUGACAUGAAAGAUCUUGGUGAGGUAAACAACUACCUAUCUCUGGAAAUAGAGAGAGAUCAAGAUGGUAACAUUCUAGUACACCAGUCACGGAAAAUUGCUGAUGUGUUAAGCAAACUAAAUCUGAUGGAUGCUAACCCUGUAGACACACCGAUGACAACAGGUUAUCAGGUAGAUGACACUGAAGAAGCAUUUUCUGACACUACACUGUACAGGAGUGUGCUAGGCAAGCUAAACUUCAUUGCCAGAUGUUCAAGACCAGACAUUGCUGUUAGCUGUAAUUUGCUAAGCAGACAAGUCAACAAUCCUAGUGUCAAGGAUUGGAAAGCUCUGAAACGCAUAGCGCGGUAUUUGAAAGGCACUAUGCAUUACAGACUGAGAUUUAACAAUCAGAAGUCUGGUGGUCUUGAGAUAUUUGCAGAUGCAAGUUUUGGAAGUGACGCUACAGACAGGAAAAGUACGUCUGGAGUUUGCUACAUGUACAAUCAGAGUCUGUUUGAUUGGUCAUGCAAGAAGCAAACAACAGUUAGCUUAAGUACUUGUGAAGCCGAACUGAAUGCACUGUCUUAUUCACUUAAGGAUUGUGAAUGGUUAGUACAAUUGUGCAAAGAUAUGAAAAUUCCUGUCAAAUGUCCAAUCCAGGUUUACCAGGACAACAAAGCAUGUUUGGCUUUGCUGAAGUCUGAAGGUUGUAAGCAAAGCACAAAGCACUUGCAAUUAAAGUUGCAGCAUGCUAGGGAAUGUAUUCAGAAGGGACUCGUAACGGUGUCCUAUAUGCCAGGUAAUGAAAUUCCUGCUGAUGUAUUGUCCAAGAUUGUAUCAAGGGAUCAACACUGUACCUAUGUGCAGAAGUUGGGUUUGUACUGAUAUUGUGCAAACACGCUGCCCAGUGAUGUUCACAGAAAGGGGGAGGAUGUUGGUUUCUGCUUUCCUUCACUGUGCAGCUCUGCUUGUCACGAGACAGGUGUUUACAUUCCACAGUCUGUACUGUUGGAGUUUCUCACGGGAAAGGGAGACUGGAUGUGACGUACACUGGUUUCCUGUUUUCACUGUGUGAUUCUCUCCGAGCUGUCGAGGAGAGAGGAUGCAUUUUCUGCUCCUGCAGAGGCAAGAUGUCUUUCUGUAAUAUACCAGCUUUGAACUGUAAAUAAAGCAAUAUAGAGUAUG
Non-coding RNA from Podarcis lilfordi (Lilford's wall lizard), 3639 nucleotides. The record is from the annotation of a GenBank genome assembly. Lineage: Eukaryota; Metazoa; Chordata; Lepidosauria; Squamata; Lacertidae.